Long non-coding RNA from Cottoperca gobio, 392 nucleotides. RefSeq lists it as uncharacterized. The transcript is spliced from 4 exons. NCBI's taxonomy places the organism in Eukaryota, Metazoa, Chordata, Actinopteri, Perciformes, Bovichtidae. The record is from RefSeq and is a predicted model, not a curated record.
AAAUACCGCCCUCAUCCGUCGUCACAUCCUCUUUCCAUUGCUCUUCUCGCGCUGAGAACCUUCUCCACACGAUGAGAGCUAAGUGGAGGAAGAAGCGUAUGCGCAGACUGAAGCGUAAAAGGCGAAAGAUGAGGCAGAGGUCAAAGUAAGCCCUCAUCGCUGCCAGCUGUGAUCCCGUCUGAGCCUUUCCUGAUGACAACGCAUGUGGCUGAAGUGCAGCCUCAAUCAGUGGAACAAAGGCCUAAACCCUGAUUCAGAUGACUGGGGCAUGUCUGACUGGAAGAGGCAAAGGCGCUGGACGAUCAACAUCAGAAUUGCAGCUGCUUUGUUCAUGGACCAGAAUACAACUGUCAUUGGUGUAUAACAAUAAAUGGAACACUCUUUAAAAUUUA